AUACGUAGGGGGCAAGCGUUAUCCGGAAUUAUUGGGCGUAAAGAGUACGUAGGUGGUAUUUUAAGCGCAGGGUUUAAGGCAAUGGCUCAACUAUUGUUCGCCCUGUGAACUGGAACACUUGAGUGCAGGAGGGGAAAGCGGAAUUCCUAGUGUAGCGGUGAAAUGCGUAGAUAUUAGGAGGAACACCGGUGGCGAAGGCGGCUUUCUGGACUGUAACUGACACUGAGGUACGAAAGCGUGGGUAGCAAACAGGAUUAGAUACCCUGGUAGUCCACGCCGUAAACGAUGAGCACUAGGUGUCGGGGUCGCAAGACUUCGGUGCCGCAGUUAACGCAAUAAGUGCUCCGCCUGGGGAGUACGGCCGCAAGGCUAAA
RNAcentral lists this ribosomal RNA (374 nucleotides) under uncultured bacterium. RNAcentral's name for it is "bacterial SSU rRNA". It matches the Rfam family "Bacterial small subunit ribosomal RNA", at positions 523 to 898 of the family's 1533-position model. The record is from RNAcentral.